Long non-coding RNA from Ruditapes philippinarum (Manila clam), 686 nucleotides. RefSeq lists it as uncharacterized. The transcript is spliced from 2 exons. Lineage: Eukaryota; Metazoa; Mollusca; Bivalvia; Venerida; Veneridae. The record is from RefSeq and is a predicted model, not a curated record.
GAAGUUAAUAUUUUUAUGCUCCCCGAAAAAUUUCAGGGGAGCAUAUAGUCGGCGCCUUGUCCGUCUGUCCGUCCGUCCGUCUGUCCGUCCGUUGUCUUGUCCGGAGCAUAACUUGAAAACCCUUGGAGAUAAUUUGUUGAAACUUCAUACAGUGGUAGAGGGCAUCGAGGGGGAGUGCAGUGUCAAAGAACCAUAACUCUAUUUUGCCCGGUUUUUGAAUUAUCUCCCCUUAUAGAAAAAUCUUGUCCGGGGCAUAACUCUAAAACUAUAAGAGAUAUCAACAUGAAACUUUGUAGGUGAAUAGAUCUCAAUGGAUAGAUGUGCAGUGCAAAAGAACUAUAACUCUGUUAAGCCUUAUUUUUAGCUCACCUGAGCAUAUGCUCAGGGUGAGCUAUGAGGAUCACUCUUCGUCCGUCGUCCGUCGUACGUCGUCCGUUGUCCGUUCACACUUUUCAAACGACAUCUCCUCUGAAACCAUAAGGCAGAUCAUAAUGAAACUUCACAGGGAUGUUCCUUGUGUGAAGCCUUAACAAAGUUGUUCAAAGAAUUCCAUUCCAUGCAGAACUCUGGUUGCCAUGGCAACCAAAAGAAAAAACUUUAAACAUCUUCUUCUAGAAAACCCAAAGGGCUAGAGCUUAGAUAUUUGGUAUGAAACAUCUUCUAGUGAGUGUCUAACAAGAUUGUUC